UCAAGCUACAAAGAGCACAAGGGGAAUGCCUUGGCACCGAGAGCCGAAGAAGGACGUGACUAACUGCGAUAAGCUGCGGGGAGCCGUAAGUAGGCUUUGAUCCGCAGAUUUCCGAAUGGAGCAAUCCGGCAAGAGGAAAGUCUUGUCAUCAUAUACUGAAUACAUAGGUAUAUGAGGGGAACCGCCUGAACUGAAACAUCUAAGUAGGGCGAGGAAGAGAAAUCAACUGAGAUUCCGUAAGUAGUGGCGAGCGAACGCGGAAGAGGCCAAACCGAGAGUAGUAAUACUUUCGGGGUUCGGACAGAAUACGGUAUUGUAAAGGUUUAGUGGAAUGGAAUGGGAAGUCCAACCGAAGAAGGUGAGAGUCCUGUACACGAAAAGCCUGAACAGCCAUCUGUAUCCAGAGUACCGCCGGACACGUGAAACCCGGUGGGAAUAUGGGGGGACCAUCCUCCAAGCCUAAAUACUACUCGGUGACCGAUAGUGAAGAAGUACUGUGAAGGAAAGGUGAAAAGUACCCCUGACGGGGAGUGAAAAAGAACCUGAAACCUUGUGUUUACAAGCACCGAAAGCUCAUCAAAGAGCGAUCGGGUACCUUUUGUAGAAUGGUCCGGCGAGUGAAUGUAACCGGCGAGGUUAAGCACUUAAGGUGUGAAGCCGCAGCGAGAGCAAGUCUGAAUAGGGCGUAUGAAGUCGGUUGUAUUCGACCCGAAACCGGGUGACCUACCCAUGGUCAGGUUGAAGUAAAGGUAAAACUUUAUGGAGGACCGAACCGACUCCCGUUGAAAUGGUAGCGGAUGAACUGUGGGUAGCGGAGAAAUUCCAAUCGAACCCGGAGAUAGCUGGUUCUCCCCGAAAUAGUUUUAGGACUAGCCUCAAGUUAGAUACCUGGAGGUAAAGCACUGAAUAGCCUAGCGGCCGAGAGGUUAGCGAAGCUUAUCAAACUCAGAAUGCCAGAGUAUUGAUGCUUGGGAGUCAGACAGUGUCAGAUAAAUGUCAUUGUCAAAAGGGAAACAGCCCAGAUCUACAGCUAAGGUCCCAAAGUCAGGUUAAGUGGAAAACGAUGUGAAGAUACGCAGACAACCAGGAUGUUGGCUCAGAAGCAGCCACUCAUUCAAAGAGUGCGUAAUAGCUCACUGGUCGAGCGUCUUUGCGCGGAGAAUUUAACGGGGCUAAACCUGACACCGAAGCUUAGGCAAUCCAGUAAUGGAUUGGGUAGGGGAGCGUUGUAUACGCGGAGAAACAGUAGCGUGAGCGGCUGUGGAGUGUAUAGAAGUGAGAAUGCCGGAAUGAGUAGCGCGAAUGCAGUGAGAAUCUGCAUGGCCGAAAGCCUCAGGUUUUUGGAGGAAGGUUCGUCCGCUCCAAGUUAGUCGGGAGCUAAGGUGAGGCCGGAAGGCGUAGCCGAUGCACAGACGGUAGAGAUUCCGUCACCACCAAAAGAGUUAAGCACAGGGACACAUUUGAAGUCUCAGAGCCGGGUGUUGGUUCCGGUAGAGAUCGAGGGAAGUUAGUACCGAAGUCUGGGAUGGAAGAUGGCGAGAAAAGCUGUGUGUAUUUCUGAGGUGCCCGUACCGCAAACCGACACAGGUAGGUAGGAAGAAGAUUCUAAGGCCAACGGGAGAAGGGUUGUUAAGGAACUCGGCAAAUUGACCCCGUAACUUCGGGAGAAGGGGUGCUCCAGAGAUGGAGCCGCAGAGAAUCGGCCCAAGCAACUGUUUACCAAAAACACAGGUUUGUGCUAAAUCGAAAGAUGACGUAUACGAGCUGACGCCUGCCCGGUGCUGGAAGGUUAAGAGGAGAUGUGCAAGCAUUGAAUCGAAGCCCCAGUGAACGGCGGCCGUAACUAUAACGGUCCUAAGGUAGCGAAAUUCCUUGUCAGGUAAG
This 1884-nucleotide ribosomal RNA is filed under the name human gut metagenome. Its description in RNAcentral is "bacterial LSU rRNA". It matches the Rfam family "Bacterial large subunit ribosomal RNA", at positions 3 to 1980 of the family's 2925-position model. The record is from RNAcentral.